Molecule: transfer RNA, 76 nt
Filed under: Acidobacteriota bacterium
Lineage: Bacteria; Pseudomonadati; Acidobacteriota
Also listed under: 1 other name
Description: Acidobacteria bacterium (sponge metagenome) tRNA-His
Rfam family: tRNA
About the family: Transfer RNA (tRNA) molecules are approximately 80 nucleotides in length. Their secondary structure includes four short double-helical elements and three loops (D, anti-codon, and T loops). Further hydrogen bonds mediate the characteristic L-shaped molecular structure. tRNAs have two regions of fundamental functional importance: the anti-codon, which is responsible for specific mRNA codon recognition, and the 3' end, to which the tRNAs corresponding amino acid is attached (by aminoacyl-tRNA synthetases). tRNAs cope with the degeneracy of the genetic code in two manners: having more than one tRNA (with a specific anti-codon) for a particular amino acid; and 'wobble' base-pairing, i.e. permitting non-standard base-pairing at the 3rd anti-codon position.
Source: RNAcentral
GUGAGUGUAGCUCAAUUGGUAGAGCGCCGGACUGUGGCUCCGGAGGUCGCGGGUUCAAUCCCCGUCACUCACCCCA